UGGGGAAUUUGGACAAUGGGCGAAAGCCUGAUCCAGCAAUGCCGCGUGUGUGAAGAAGGCCUUCGGGUUGUAAAGCACUUUUGUCCGGAAAGAAAUCCUUGGCUCUAAUACAGUCGGGGGGAUGACGGUACCGGAAGAAUAAGCACCGGCUAACUACGUGCCAGCAGCCGCGGUAAUACGUAGGGUGCAAGCGUUAAUCGGAAUUACUGGGCGUAAAAGCGUGCGCAGGCGGUUUGCUAAGACCGAUGUGAAAUCCCCGGGCUCAACCUGGGAACUGCAUUGGUGACUGGCAGGCUAGAGUAUGGCAGAGGGGGGUAGAAUUCCACGUGUAGCAGUGAAAAUGCGUAGAGAUGUGGAGGAAUACCGAUGGCGAAAGGCAGCCCCCUGGGCCAAAUACUGACGCUCAUGCACGAAAAGCGUGGGGAGCAAAACAGGAUUAGAUACCCUGGUAGUCCACGCCCU
RNAcentral lists this ribosomal RNA (462 nucleotides) under uncultured bacterium. RNAcentral describes it as "partial 16S ribosomal RNA". It matches the Rfam family "Bacterial small subunit ribosomal RNA", at positions 356 to 803 of the family's 1533-position model. The record is from RNAcentral.